GAUGAACGCUGGCGGCGUGCUUAAUACAUGCAAGUCGAACGAACAUUAAGAGUGCUUGCACUUUUAAUGUUAGUGGCGAACGGGUGAGUAAUACAUAGGCAACUUGCCCCAAGGACUGGGAUAACACUUAGAAAUGAGUGCUAAUACCGGAUAGGUAAUACAAAGGCAUCUUAGUAUUAUUAAAGGAGAGAAACACAAGCAGAUGGGCUUAUGGUGCAUUAGUUAGUUGGUGAGGUAACGGCCCACCAAGACGAUGAUGCAUAGCCGGCCUGAGAGGGUGAACGGCCACAUUGGGACUGAGACACGGCCCAG
RNAcentral lists this ribosomal RNA (312 nucleotides) under uncultured bacterium. RNAcentral's name for it is "bacterial SSU rRNA". It matches the Rfam family "Bacterial small subunit ribosomal RNA", at positions 28 to 334 of the family's 1533-position model. The record is from RNAcentral.